RNAcentral lists this transfer RNA (75 nucleotides) under Micromonospora sonchi. Its description in RNAcentral is "tRNA-Val". Lineage: Bacteria; Bacillati; Actinomycetota; Actinomycetes; Micromonosporales; Micromonosporaceae. The record is from RNAcentral.
CGCCGGCUGGCUGGCCCGGGUCGGGUCCUGACACGACCCGGGGACCCUCGUGCCCGGUUCCGCCGCGGCCGGGGC